This 346-nucleotide ribosomal RNA is filed under the name uncultured bacterium. RNAcentral's name for it is "bacterial SSU rRNA". It matches the Rfam family "Bacterial small subunit ribosomal RNA", at positions 1 to 334 of the family's 1533-position model. The record is from RNAcentral.
CGCUCGACAUCAGAGUUUGAUCCUGGCUCAGGACGAACGCUGGCGGCGCGCCUAACACAUGCAAGUCGAGCGGAGAUAUGAGAGGAGUAAUCCGAACAUAUUUUAGCGGCGGACGGGUGAGUAACGCGUGAGUGACCUGCCUCUUACAGGGGGAUAACGUACCGAAAGGUACACUAAUACCGCAUAAGACCACAUGGCCGCAUGGCCGAGGGGUCAAAGGAGCAAUCCGGUAAGAGAUGGGCUCGCGUCCGAUUAGAUAGUUGGUGAGGUAACGGCCCACCAAGUCUGCGAUCGGUAGCCGACCUGAGAGGGUGAACGGCCACAUUGGAACUGAGAGACGGUCCAA